Non-coding RNA from Oryza sativa Japonica Group (Japanese rice), 1125 nucleotides. NCBI's taxonomy places the organism in Eukaryota, Viridiplantae, Streptophyta, Magnoliopsida, Poales, Poaceae. The record is from RefSeq and is a predicted model, not a curated record.
GCCGGCGCCGCCCGUGCCUGCAACCACCGCUUCCGCCCUCUCCCAUGCGUCCCGCCCACGUCGCCCGCCUCCCGCGCCCUCUCCCUCACUUCCCGCAACCGCCGCCCCACUUCCCCCGCGCGUCCGCACCGAGAAACGGCCGGGAUUCAAUUUUCGAAUCCCGCCGGCCCUCUUUCUCCACCUUCCCCACCUCGCCGGUAAAUCCGCACCAACCCCGGCCGUUCCCACACUCCCCUCCCCUAAAUAAAUGAUCCCUUCUUACUCCUCCACCUUUUUCCUUUUUCCACCGCCCGUUCUCGAGCUCUCCUCCACCCUAGCGCCGUGCACCGCCCACCGCCGCUGCUUUAGCUACCUUCGGCCGCCGCUCGCCACCGUUAGAGCUGCCGCCGAGUCCCGCCGUCGCCGUCGUCGGGUUCGCGAGCUUGAGCGCCACCCCGUCCACCCCUCCGUCGGGCGAAUCCGCCACUGGAACCCGCCGUCCCUCGUGCGCCGGUGAGCAUCGCCACGGUCGCCGCCUUCGGCUGGCGCCCUAGCUCGCUGCGGUCUCUCUCUCACUCUCUAACCUUCCCCGUUGUGUUCUUUUGGUCAUCCCGGAGCACGUCCCGCCGUCGCCGCCGUCUCCCGCCGCUCGCCGUCGUCGAUCCUUGUCGGCGUCGACGAUGGAGGACAUGGGCUGUGAGUGGCAGUGGCACAGGCUAGGUGGUGGUGGCAGUGGCACGUGCUAGGUGGUGGCGGUGCCGGCAAGCGGCGCACGGGGUGACGGGCGGCGUUGGCGGUGGCGCGUGGGCUGACUGGUGGCCGUGCCGGCGGCGGGCGUCAGUAGCGUCGGUGGUGGCGACGCGCGGGCUGACCGCCGGUGGCGGCGGCAACGGUUGAGUGACGCCAACCAUGUGUUCGACGAAAUGACGACAAGGAACGUGGUGGUGUGGAGUAACAAGUCUAACCAAACACUUUUACACCCUCCUAAGCUCCUAUAGGAGAUAGCUCCCUAUGGAGUUGGAGUUCAUAGUUGGGUGUUAGAGUUUGGAGCUCUACCAAAUGGAGCCCUAGUGUUAAAAGACAUUUUUUUGAAGUGCAGUGUUAAGAAAACUAAACACAUGAGUUCUGUGCUUUUUGAGAUCUUUA